CAGGAAGUAGCUAACACACCAAAAGCACCCAACUUACACUUGGAAGAUGUUACUCCAACCUCCCUGAG
This 68-nucleotide transfer RNA is filed under the name Phyllodactylus pumilus. RNAcentral's name for it is "tRNA-Val". Lineage: Eukaryota; Metazoa; Chordata; Lepidosauria; Squamata; Phyllodactylidae. The record is from RNAcentral.